CCCCCUUCUUCUAGUGCCAAUUCUGUUGGAACAGAAUUCUGCCGAUGUCGGAGAAGCUGGAGUCGAGGGGAUCACGGCCGCCGUCGGGACCUGCAAGGAAAGUCCAAACUGGAGUUGGGGGUGCUCCGGCAAGACCCUCCGAUGCUCAAGUCAGUAUUUUGCUUCAACAUAAAUGGAGCACUCGAUUCGGAUUUUUAGUUGAGUUUAGAGAUAGUACCUAGAGCUUAGAGGAGAAUGUAUCUGGGGGGUC
RNAcentral lists this long non-coding RNA (250 nucleotides) under Elaeis guineensis (African oil palm). Its description in RNAcentral is "long non-coding RNA (EGUI_LNC071531)". Lineage: Eukaryota; Viridiplantae; Streptophyta; Magnoliopsida; Arecales; Arecaceae. The record is from RNAcentral.